CAGCCGCCGCGGUAAUACGUAGGGUGCAAGCGUUAAUCGGAAUUACUGGGCGUAAAGCGUGCGCAGGCGGUUCGCUAAGACAGAUGUGAAAUCCCCGGGCUUAACCUGGGAACUGCAUUUGUGACUGGCGGGCUAGAGUAUGGCAGAGGGGGGUAGUAUUCUACGUGUAGCAGUGAAAUGCGUAGAGAUGUGGAGGAAUACCGAUGGCGAAGGCAGCCCCCUGGGCCAAUACUGACGCUCAUGCACGAAAGCGUGGGGAGCAAACAGGAUUAGAUACCCGCGUAGUCCCUGUCUCUUAUAC
This 301-nucleotide ribosomal RNA is filed under the name uncultured bacterium. RNAcentral describes it as "partial 16S ribosomal RNA". It matches the Rfam family "Bacterial small subunit ribosomal RNA", at positions 509 to 807 of the family's 1533-position model. The record is from RNAcentral.